RNAcentral lists this transfer RNA (83 nucleotides) under [Eubacterium] sulci. Its description in RNAcentral is "tRNA-OTHER". It matches the Rfam family "tRNA". Rfam says of the family: Transfer RNA (tRNA) molecules are approximately 80 nucleotides in length. The record is from RNAcentral. Lineage: Bacteria; Bacillati; Bacillota; Clostridia; Peptostreptococcales; Anaerovoracaceae.
GUGGCUGUAGCUUAAUGUGGAAGAGCGCCUUAUUUAGCUUAGCUAAGUUGGGAGAAUCCCGGUUCGAUUCCGGGCAGUCUGUA